This 274-nucleotide ribosomal RNA is filed under the name uncultured bacterium. RNAcentral describes it as "partial 16S ribosomal RNA". It matches the Rfam family "Bacterial small subunit ribosomal RNA", at positions 523 to 796 of the family's 1533-position model. The record is from RNAcentral.
AUACGGGGGGUGCAAGCGUUAAUCGGCAUUACUGGGCGUAAAGCGCGCGUAGGCGGUUUGCUCAGUCGGAUGUGAAAGCCCAGGGCUCAACCUUGGAACUGCAUACGAUACUGGCAAACUAGAGUGUGAGAGAGGAUAGUGGAAUUUCCGGUGUAGCGGUGAAAUGCGUAGAUAUCGGAAGGAACAUCAGUGGCGAAGGCGACUGUCUGGCUCAACACUGACGCUGAGGUGCGAAAGCGUGGGUAGCAAACAGGAUUAGAAACCCCAGUAGUCC